This is a long non-coding RNA of Vicia villosa (hairy vetch), 667 nucleotides long. RefSeq lists it as uncharacterized. NCBI's taxonomy places the organism in Eukaryota, Viridiplantae, Streptophyta, Magnoliopsida, Fabales, Fabaceae. The transcript has 4 exons. The record is from RefSeq and is a predicted model, not a curated record.
AAAGCGCUUUUAGUAAUAAAGCGCUGGUAUAAAGGGGCAUAUGAAAGCGCUUCUGAAAAGCGCUCUGGUAGCCCUUUUUAAAAUUUUCAUAAAAUUAAAACACGCUAUUUCAUUCAGAAACACAAAACAUCCGUACUCGUCUUCUUCUUCCUCUCGCUCACGCACACUCUCUGCUUCCUCGCUCUCACUCCCUCCGCCGUGGUCUCAGCCACUCCUCCGUCCCUCCGUCGUCGUCUCACUCUCACUCUCAAACCAACUAGCCGCCGCUGCCGCCGCCGCCGCUGCUACGCCGUUCUGUGGGAUUUUAGGGUUUUCUUGGUCAAAAUCAACAUCUUCUUGCUGCUUCUGUUCAGGGGAUAUUAAAGAUUUUCUAAAAGAAUAUCACUAGAGACAUCAAAUUAGCUUACGGUGUGUGGUUCCAGAAGUUUCUGAAUUUCUCUAAAGUUACUUUGAAGUCUCUGGUUUCUAUUUGUACAACGCCGAUUCAAACCUACCCAUCUCCCACAUAAAGUCUAACUCAGAAUUCCUUAGUACCUGAUAGAGAAACCAAGAAGUUUUUGUUUAGCUCAAUUAAGACAUGGAUAAGACAUGGAUGAAUUCAAACCGAUUGUCGAAAGAGUACGAGAAAGGGGUAUGGGAAUUCGUUGAGUUUGCGGUUGCGCACUCC